UACGUAGGUGGCGAGCGUUGUCCGGAUUUACUGGGCGUAAAGGGAGCGUAGGCGGACUUUUAAGUGAGAUGUGAAAUACUCGGGCUCAACUUGAGUGCUGCAUUUCAAACUGGAAGUCUAGAGUGCAGGAGAGGAGAAUGGAAUUCCUAGUGUAGCGGUGAAAUGCGUAGAGAUUAGGAAGAACACCAGUGGCGAAGGCGAUUCUCUGGACUGUAUCUGACGCUGAGGCUCGAAAGCGUGGGGAGCAAACAGG
RNAcentral lists this ribosomal RNA (253 nucleotides) under uncultured bacterium. RNAcentral's name for it is "partial 16S ribosomal RNA". It matches the Rfam family "Bacterial small subunit ribosomal RNA", at positions 524 to 776 of the family's 1533-position model. The record is from RNAcentral.